CUACGGGGUGCACCAGUGAGGAAUAUUGGUCAAUGGGCGCAAGCCUGAACCAGCCAUGCCGCGUGCAGGAAGAAUGCCCUAUGGGUUGUAAACUGCUUUUAUUUGGGAAUAAACCUCUUUACGUGUAGAGAGCUGAAGGUACCAAAUGAAUAAGCACCGGCUAACUCCGUGCCAGCAGCCGCGGUAAUACGGAGGGUGCAAGCGUUAUCCGGAAUCAUUGGGUUUAAAGGGUCCGCAGGCGGAUUUAUAAGUCAGUGGUGAAAUCCUAUCGCUUAACGAUAGAACUGCCAUUGAUACUGUAAGUCUGGAAUUCGGUCGGAGUGGGCGGAAUGUGUAGUGUAGCGGUGAAAUGCAUAGAUAUUACACAGAACACCGAUAGCGAAGGCAGCUCACUAGACCUGAAUUGACGCUCAGGGACGAAAGCGUGGGGAUCAAACAGGAUUAGAUACCCCCGUAGUC
This 459-nucleotide ribosomal RNA is filed under the name uncultured bacterium. Its description in RNAcentral is "partial 16S ribosomal RNA". It matches the Rfam family "Bacterial small subunit ribosomal RNA", at positions 339 to 795 of the family's 1533-position model. The record is from RNAcentral.